RNAcentral lists this unclassified non-coding RNA (231 nucleotides) under uncultured Clavulinaceae. Its description in RNAcentral is "sequence contains ITS2". RNAcentral also lists the same sequence under 1 other name. Lineage: Eukaryota; Fungi; Basidiomycota; Agaricomycetes; Cantharellales; Hydnaceae. The record is from RNAcentral.
AAUUCUCAAACUGAGAUGCUUUUUUGUUUCUCGGCUUGGUGUUGGGCUUUGCAGUCCCCUUUGAUUGGGAUGGCUGGCCUCAAAAGCAUUAGCUGGCUUUUCAUGUGGCAUUGGUUCUACUCAGCGUGAUAAUGAUCUGACCGCCGAGGACAUCUUUCGAGAUGGCCAAUUCUCAUUUGGGCUGCUUCUAAUCUUGGUUGAGCAGAUUCUGAAUCUGUUCCACUUUUCAAC